This 425-nucleotide ribosomal RNA is filed under the name uncultured bacterium. RNAcentral describes it as "bacterial SSU rRNA". It matches the Rfam family "Bacterial small subunit ribosomal RNA", at positions 354 to 796 of the family's 1533-position model. The record is from RNAcentral.
GUGGGGAAUCUUAGACAAUGGGCGCAAGCCUGAUCUAGCCAUGCCGCGUGAGCGAUGAAGGCCUUAGGGUUGUAAAGCUCUUUCAGCUGGGAAGAUAAUGACGGUACCAGCAGAAGAAGCCCCGGCUAACUCCGUGCCAGCAGCCGCGGUAAUACGGAGGGGGCUAGCGUUGUUCGGAAUUACUGGGCGUAAAGCGCACGUAGGCGGAUCAGAAAGUCAGAGGUGAAAUCCCAGGGCUCAACCUUGGAACUGCCUUUGAAACUCCUGAUCUUGAGGUCGAGAGAGGUGAGUGGAAUUCCGAGUGUAGAGGUGAAAUUCGUAGAUAUUCGGAGGAACACCAGUGGCGAAGGCGGCUCACUGGACUGGUAUUGACGCUGAGGUGCGAAAGCGUGGGGAGCAAACAGGAUUAGAUACCCCAGUAGUCC